Molecule: non-coding RNA, 112 nt
Organism: Anopheles gambiae str. PEST
Lineage: Eukaryota; Metazoa; Arthropoda; Insecta; Diptera; Culicidae
Rfam family: drz-agam-2-2 ribozyme
Source: Rfam
UACAAGGUACGAGCUGGCUAUUUGGGAUGUGUUAUCAAAUAUCCAAGCUUGGGUACACGGGCCCAGUCCCAACCCCUUGGGCGGAUGAUGAUGCAUGGCAAAGCAGGAAGGG